CCCUUAGAUGUUCUGGGCCGCACGCGCGCUACACUGACGAAUGCAACGAGCUUAUAACCUUGGCCGAAAGGUCUGGGUAAUCUCCAAAUUUCGUCGUGAUGGGGAUAGAUUAUUGCAAUUAUUAAUCUUCAACGAGGAAUGCCUAGUAAGCGCAAGUCAUCAGCUUGCGUUGAUUACGUCCCUGCCCUUUGUACACACCGCCCGUCGCUCCUACCGAUUGAAUGGUCCGGUGAAGCGCUCGGACCGCGGCCUCUUGACGGUUUUCCGUCGAUUGGCUGUGGGAAGUUCGUUAAACCUUAUCAUUUAGAGGAAGGUGAANUCGUAACA
RNAcentral lists this ribosomal RNA (327 nucleotides) under uncultured eukaryote. RNAcentral's name for it is "partial 18S ribosomal RNA". It matches the Rfam family "Eukaryotic small subunit ribosomal RNA", at positions 1470 to 1796 of the family's 1831-position model. The record is from RNAcentral.